Sesamum indicum (sesame) is the source of this 3012-nucleotide non-coding RNA. Lineage: Eukaryota; Viridiplantae; Streptophyta; Magnoliopsida; Lamiales; Pedaliaceae. The record is from RefSeq and is a predicted model, not a curated record.
ACCGUCACAUUCUCACGCACACAACUCUUGCAAUUCUCUCCCAAAUUCAAAAUCCCUAUAUACGAGUUCCCAUUUUUAGUACUGCGAACAAUUUCCGUUGAGCAGCUCUUUUCUCUUCUCUCUCAUACAUCUGUGUGUAGUUUUGCCAUGUCCCUUUUCCUUUAGCCUCCAAGGGCCGCCUUCUUUCUCAGUAGCAAAAUGAGUGGAAUAUCCGUAGGUCACUCCCAUCCCAGACCGUGUUCUGGGGAAAAAACAUUGAGAAGGUGCAGGAAUAAUGAGGAAGCUGAUAAUGUUAUUCUGAUAGAUGCUGAUUCAGAAAAAUUCGACAAUGUAAUUAUCAUUGAUAUUCCUGAAUCUUUACCAAAGAAAAGGCAAGGUUUGCACAUGCUCAGGAAAGACAAGAAGUGGUCAUUCAGGAAUGUAAUAUACAUUGAUGAUGAUGAAACCCCUGAUAGUAACCAUUCUAUUGGUGUCAACAAUGUCAGUUCCUCUGCUGGUACCUCUUCUAAUAGAGCAUCCUGCCGUGGUUCUAAGAACUUUGCGGAUUCUUCAGAUGCUACUGCUGAAGAAUGUCAAUUUGUUCAAGAUAAUGCAACUCCAGUGAGAUUGUCGAAAUGCAAGCGUACCUAUUCUGGGAAAGCUUUGGCAAGAAACCGCUAUGGUUUGAGUUCCGACUCCGAAAGUGAUUCAUCUGAUAGUGAUUGUCCUGAUUGUGAGGUAUUGGAAGAUUCUUCUGGAGAGGUUCAAGAGCUGUGGGAGAGAGCUUUCUCCAGGAGAAGGAAAGAUAUUCGUAGUGGUCCUAAAGGUACGAGGGUUUAUGAUAGGGCCUCGCAAGUUGUUAAUGGGGAUCGCCAACACCACCAAUAUGCUGAAACAAAAGAUGCAACUUGGCAGCAUAAGGAUGCCUCAUUUUGUUUUACUACAGUAAAUUCCAAUAAUAAAAAUGAUGCCUCAUCUCCUUGUACACCGAAAGAGGAUACUAAUUUUGGUUGCACCUCUGUUUUUGAUUGUCCUACUGUUCAUGAUAUCUCGCAGUCAGCGCCGAGAACACAUCAUUAUCAUCAGUCUGGUACAUGUGGCAGAACCAAUUCUGAAGCCAAAGGUUCUCCUGCUGAGCAGGUUGAUCACCCGGAUUGUGAGCCAUCAGGUUUGAACGAUCACAUUGGGGGAAGAGGGGAGCAUCCAGCUUCAUCUAAUUCUGGAUUCAGGAAACAGUCAACCAAGGAAUCCAAUGAUCCAACACCUGCUUUCGAGGGUGAGGAAGCUCCUAAAGUAGAACCUUGUCCAUCAAAGUUUAGAUCAUGUGUUGAUAAGGAUUACUGUCAUGGAAGAAAUUCUAAAAGUCCAUUGGAAAAUGGGGUCAUCCCAGGCAGAUCUUCUCCAAAGGACUCAGGAGAUGACACCGAACAAGUUUACCGUCAGGACAACAUGCAUCCGGUCACUGAGAUACCAUCAUUUAGGAAUCUCUCUCCUAAUGAAGCCAGACUUCAAGAGGACAAUUCUUUGUCAAAUUGUCGAUUGGAGGAGGAUAAAGAUGGUCAACUGCUUAUCGAAGUUGGAGACAUUUUGCCUUCAGCAGUGACCAGUAUAAUUGGUGAACGAGAAAAGCUUAAGGAAACAGAUGAGUAUAAAAGAGCAAUAGAGGAAGAAUGGGCUUCACGGCAAGAAGCGCUGCGAAUCCAGGCUGAAGAAGCACAACGACUCCGGCGGUUGCGGAAGAGAAGAAAAGCUGAGAGCAUGCGUUUGUUGGAUAUGGAAAGAAGACAGAAACAGCGUGUAGAGGAAAUAAGGAUUACUCAAAAGAAGGAUGAGGAAAAUAUGAACUUGAAGGAGGUAAUUCGUGCUGAAGUUAGGAAGGAGCUCAAGCAACUGGAAAUUGCGUGCCACAGUAUGGCUUCUCUCUUGCAUUUAUUGGGAAUUCGUGUGGGCGGUUGGCCUCAUCCCUUGCCACAAGAGGUACAGGCAGCUUACAAACGAGCCUUGCUGACUUUUCACCCAGAUCGAGCCUCACGAUCUGAUAUCCGUCAGCAAGUUGAAGCUGAGGAGAAAUUUAAGCUUAUUAAUCGCCUGAAGGAGAAAUUUUCACCUUCUUUAUGACAGUUGGUGAGUUUUGCGAUGUACUCUUCACCAUAACUCUUAUGCUCCAAGCUGUAAACAUCUACCUGCCUUCAAUGGAUAAGCUGCAUUAAAUGGAACUCAUUUUUGCUUUGGUGAUUCUCUGUUCUACUCUCUUGGUAUAUCAACUGGCUCCUUGAAGGUGUGAAAUCUUCAUCUAUUUUCUUUUGUGUUCGCUUUCGGGGUUAACUUUCUUAAGAGGAGGUUGGCUGUAAACAGUGUCUGUAAAAAGAUAGAAGAAAGGAGAUUCUCAGUCCCGCUGCGGUAUUCUAUGUUUAGACUGCGUCGGAGGGGUCGGCUGCUACUCAGAAAAUGCAGCUUAUGUUGUAUAAAUCAUGUUUUAUGUAUAAGCCGGUAGUGUUAUCAAUUUUGGAUGAGAAAGGACAAUGCGCUGCAUGUGGCUUUUGGCCAUUAGCUCAAUUUUGAUGGAGAAAAUAAUAAGUGCAUCAGAAAGCUGCGUUUUCCAUAUCAUAUUUAGGAUAAUUUAAUUUUAAUUUUCUAUAUCAAAUUCGAGUUUGCAAGUUUGGACUUCAAUUAGUUAGUGUAUGAGAAGGUCCAGGAUUAUGGCACGUGAUUUAACUUUGUCAAUAUUGGGGAGCAUGACCUGCAAAUUUAUCCUUUUUGGUCUGUCUGCCUACAUGUAAUAAGGAUUAUUCAAUCUCUCAAACGAAUUACACAAAAGCAGUUUAUAAAAAUAAUUAUAACUAUAUUGGAUUGUUUACAUCAUCUAUCAUAGCGGCUGCUGAUCAUGAGAUGUUAAGAUGGCUGAAAUGAGAUCUCAAAGCUGCUAAUUAUUACUCAACUCAACCGUGUCUUUCCUCCAAGAUAGUCCUUGUCUACAAUGGCUGGAGCAAGAUUUGAACUCCAUGCUGAGGCUGAACCGUGAGGGCUAUAAAA